UACGUAGGGCGCAAGCGUUGUCCGGAAUUAUUGGGCGUAAAGAGCUCGUAGGCGGUUUGUCACGUCGGAUGUGAAAGCCCGGGGCUUAACUCCGGGUCUGCAUUCGAUACGGGCAGACUAGAGUGUGGUAGGGGAGAUCGGAAUUCCUGGUGUAGCGGUGGAAUGCGCAGAUAUCAGGAGGAACACCGGUGGCGAAGGCGGUUCUCUGGGCAUUACCUGACGCUGAGGAGCGAAAGCAUGGGGAGCGAACAGG
RNAcentral lists this ribosomal RNA (253 nucleotides) under uncultured bacterium. RNAcentral's name for it is "partial 16S ribosomal RNA". It matches the Rfam family "Bacterial small subunit ribosomal RNA", at positions 524 to 776 of the family's 1533-position model. The record is from RNAcentral.